Molecule: ribosomal RNA, 1367 nt
Filed under: uncultured bacterium
Lineage: Bacteria
Description: 16S ribosomal RNA
Rfam family: Bacterial small subunit ribosomal RNA
Source: RNAcentral
UUAGAGUUUGAUCCUGGCUCAGGACGAACGCUGGCGGCACGCCUAACACAUGCAAGUCGAACGGAGAAAAUGAUUUCGGUUAUUUUCUUAGUGGCGGACGGGUGAGUAACACGUGAGGAACCUGCCUUUGAGAGUGGGAUAGCUUCUGGAAACGGAUGGUAAUACCGCAUAACAUAGUGAAACCGCAUGAUUUUGCUAUCAAAGUAUUUCGCUCAGAGAUGGCCUCGCGUCUGAUUAGAUAGUUGGUGAGGUAACGGCUCACCAAGUCGACGAUCAGUAGCCGGACUGAGAGGUUGAACGGCCACAUUGGGACUGAGACACGGCCCAGACUCCUACGGGAGGCAGCAGUGGGGGAUAUUGCACAAUGGGGGAAACCCUGACGCAGCGACGCCGCGUGGAGGAAGAAGGUCUUCGGAUUGUAAACUCCUGUUGUUGAGGAAGAUAAUGACGGUACUCAACAAGGAAGUGACGGCUAACUACGUGCCAGCAGCCGCGGUAAAACGUAGGUCACAAGCGUUGUCCGGAAUUACUGGGUGUAAAGGGAGCGCAGGCGGGAAGACAAGUUGGAAGUGAAAUCCAUGGGCUCAACCCAUGAACUGCUUUCAAAACUGUUUUUCUUGAGUAGUGCAGAGGUAAGCGGAAUUCCCGGUGUAGCGGUGGAAUGCGUAGAUAUCGGGAGGAAACACCAGUGGCGAAGGCGGCCUACUGGGCACCAACUGACGCUGAGGCUCGAAAGUGUGGGUAGCAAACAGGAUUAGAUACCCUGGUAGUCCACACCGUAAACGAUGAUUACUAGGUGUUGGAGGAUUGACCCCUUCAGUGCCGCAGUUAACACAAUAAGUAAUCCACCUGGGGAGUACGACCGCAAGGUUGAAACUCAAAGGAAUUGACGGGGGCCCGCACAAGCAGUGGAGUAUGUGGUUUAAUUCGACGCAACGCGAAGAACCUUACCAAGUCUAGACAUCCCUUGACGAUGCUGGAAACAGUAUUUCUCUUCGGAGCAAGGAGACAGGUGGUGCAUGGUUGUCGUCAGCUCGUGUCGUGAGAUGUUGGGUUAAGUCCCGCAACGAGCGCAACCCUUAUGGUCAGUUACUACGCAAGAGGACUCUGGCCAGACUGCCGUUGACAAAACGGAGGAAGGUGGGGAUGACGUCAAAUCAUCAUGCCCCUUACGACCUGGGCUACACACGUGCUACAAUGGGUACAACAAAGAGACGCGAGGCCGCAAGGUGGAGCCAAACUCAGAAAAGUACUCUCAGUUCAGAUUGUGGGCUGCAACCCGCCCACAUGAAGUUGGAGUUGCUAGUAAUCGCGGAUCAGCAUGCCGCGGUGAAUACGUUCCCGGGCCUUGCACACACCGCCCGUCA